CUCCCCCCUGACGUGCGGCGAGGGCGCCUCCCUCGCCACCCGUACCAGCCCCUCCACCACCCGCGCCUCCCGCGCCAGGCACCAGUGGUACGCCCGCACCGUCGACAGACGGUGCAGCGUGCCGGCGGCGCGGCCGCGCGCCUCCCAGGUGUGACCCUCGUUCAGCAGGUCGAUGAUGGCGUUAACCCCCGACCCGUUCUCCUGCUCCAUGAUCCUGGCCUUGUUGGUCCCCAGGGCGGCCAUGGCGUGCACGGCGGAGAUGGCGCAGGCGCGGAGGGCCGGGUCGUCGGCGACCAGGAGGCGGAGGAGGACGGGGACCAGCCCGGCCUCGCCCAUCUGUGCGGCCAGCUUCGCGUCGGACCGCAGCCGCGGCGUGAGCCUGGA
This 384-nucleotide long non-coding RNA is filed under the name Spirodela polyrhiza (greater duckweed). RNAcentral describes it as "long non-coding RNA (SPOL_LNC001786)". Lineage: Eukaryota; Viridiplantae; Streptophyta; Magnoliopsida; Alismatales; Araceae. The record is from RNAcentral.